This 73-nucleotide transfer RNA is filed under the name Caudoviricetes sp. Its description in RNAcentral is "tRNA-OTHER". It matches the Rfam family "tRNA". Rfam says of the family: Transfer RNA (tRNA) molecules are approximately 80 nucleotides in length. Their secondary structure includes four short double-helical elements and three loops (D, anti-codon, and T loops). The record is from RNAcentral. Lineage: Duplodnaviria; Heunggongvirae; Uroviricota; Caudoviricetes.
UGUGGGGUAGUUCAGUUUGGUAGAACAAUACAAAGGUAUAUGUUGGCGGUUCAAUCCCGCUUCCCACACUCCA